RNAcentral lists this long non-coding RNA (1119 nucleotides) under Homo sapiens (human). Its description in RNAcentral is "novel transcript". Lineage: Eukaryota; Metazoa; Chordata; Mammalia; Primates; Hominidae. The record is from RNAcentral.
AGGAAGAGCGCAAAGAAGAUAAUCUGUCUGUUCCAUGAAACGUGAGCUGGGCAGCAGAGGACCAUUUACAAAACCGUUCACCCACACAUUGGCAGAUUGGUAUUGAUUGACAGCUGGGAGUUAAGCUGGUACUGCUCUGAAGUCGCCAUGACCUCUAACCUAGAUGGCUACAAUACCUACUACGACUUCUCCUUGCCUCCAGGCUGCUGACUAACUUAAUGAACUGAACGGAUUAAAAUGGUGCAAGAGAAAAGGGCAUUUUUACACAAAAGGAAGCAUUUUCUGUGUUCCAGUUCAGCUGUUCCAAUGACAUUUGGUGGUGUUAUCAGUGUGAAUUAUACAAGCAAGUUUCUUUAUCCAGACUGACGCAUCAACCAUGAUCUAGCAUUUGCAAGAUGUGUAAUUACUUUGACUUUCAAGAAAACAUCUUCUGAUCUAAGGAACUUCCCAAGAUAUCAAAGCUGGCUGGCUCAGGAAUACUCUCACAGUGAUGGCAGAAGAGCAAAUCUGGAAGUUCAAACACUCAAAUGUGUUGUUGGAUUUCUGCAUGCAUCACAUGGGCUAACAACUGGUCAAAGCAAAUCACAUGGCCAAACUAAAAAUCAAAGGCCUGGAAGACAGACAAAGUGCUAUAUUGAAGGUUACAGAAGAAUAAAGAAGUUCUGAAUAGAACAGAAGCUUUCAUAAGGCAGGGGUUAUAACGACCAACAGAGACUCCACAAAACCAUUUACUCACAAGAGAAAAUAUGGCACGGAUUGGAUUAGAAGUGGAAAGACUAAUGCAUUUUUGUCCAUAAGGAUUAGAAGAAAAAUGGUUCUCUCAGCUCUGCAAGUGAGCACAACAAGCAAUCCAAAAGCAUUAUUUGUGUGAAGCAGUUUGUAGAAUUUGUUCCAUUUGUCACUAGAACUAGUGUUUGAAGCUCAGCAAAAGUUGAGUUAUGGUUAAGCCCCAGGGUCAGUGGCCACGUGUUCAGAGUAGUACCUUAGGUUUAAAGCUGAUUCACAACCUGAAAAACACUCAGUGGUGUUCUCUCCCAAAUUAUCAAUCAUUACCUUGUGGUGUUUUAAAAAGAGGAUAGAAGAUUGCUUGACCAGAAAAUAAUGACAAUAAAAAGGAAA